AUGACAGAGAACAGUGGACACACAGUUUAACAUGAUGGACUAUAGGACAGGACUGCUGCUGUUAACUAUCUGCUGGGCAGGUGUUAAUGGUCAGACUCUAACAGAAUCUGAACCAGUGGUUAAAAGGCCUGGAGAAUCUCACAGAUUGACCUGUACAGCCUCUGGAUUCACAUUCAGUGACCACAGCAUGCACUGGAUCAGACAGGCUCCUGGAAAAGGACUGGAGUGGAUCGCUUAUAUCAGAUAUGACAGUAGCUACAUCUACUACUCUCAGUCAGUUCAAGGCCGGUUUACCAUCUCCAGAGACAACAGCAGACAGCAGGUGUAUCUGCAGAUGAACAGUCUGAAGACUGAAGAUUCUGCUGUUUAUUAUUGUGCUCGACACCCACAGUGACUGGAGUUGGUUGAGCAGCUGU
Molecule: non-coding RNA, 416 nt
Organism: Dicentrarchus labrax (European seabass)
Lineage: Eukaryota; Metazoa; Chordata; Actinopteri; Moronidae
Source: the annotation of a RefSeq genome assembly